UGGGGAAUAUUGCACAAUGGGCGCAAGCCUGAUGCAGCCAUGCCGCGUAUAUGAAGAAGGCCUUCGGGUUGUAAAGUACUUUCAGUCGGGAGGAAGGUGGUAAGGUUAAUAACCUUAUCAAUUGACGUUACCGACAGAAGAAGCACCGGCUAACUCCGUGCCAGCAGCCGCGGUAAUACGGAGGGUGCAAGCGUUAAUCGGAAUUACUGGGCGUAAAGCGCACGCAGGCGGUUGAUUGAGUCAGAUGUGAAAUCCCCGGGCUUAACCCGGGAAUUGCAUCUGAUACUGGUCAGCUAGAGUCUUGUAGAGGGGGGUAGAAUUCCAUGUGUAGCGGUGAAAUGCGUAGAGAUGUGGAGGAAUACCGGUGGCGAAGGCGGCCCCCUGGACAAAGACUGACGCUCAGGUGCGAAAGCGUGGGGAGCAAACAGG
This 429-nucleotide ribosomal RNA is filed under the name Chloroflexota bacterium. RNAcentral's name for it is "Chloroflexi bacterium partial 16S ribosomal RNA". It matches the Rfam family "Bacterial small subunit ribosomal RNA", at positions 355 to 776 of the family's 1533-position model. The record is from RNAcentral. Lineage: Bacteria; Bacillati; Chloroflexota.